This 1372-nucleotide ribosomal RNA is filed under the name metagenome. RNAcentral describes it as "bacterial LSU rRNA". It matches the Rfam family "Bacterial large subunit ribosomal RNA", at positions 1531 to 2925 of the family's 2925-position model. The record is from RNAcentral.
CGUUAGUAAAUCUGCUUAGCAAUCCAAAGGUGUGACGCGGAGCGAACAAAAGUAGCGAAGUUGGCGAUUCCGGCUGUCGAGAAAAGCCGCUAUUGUGUGAUGCAUGCCCGUACCGUAAACCGACACAGGUGGAUGAGGAGAGAAUCCUAAGGCCGGCGGAGAAGCAUUGUUAAGGAACUCGGCAAAAUGACCCUGUAACUUCGGGAUAAAGGGUGCCUGCGCAAGCAGGCCGCAGAGAAUAGGCUCAAGCAACUGUUUAGCAAAAACACAGGUCUAUGCAAAACCGAAAGGUGAGGUAUAUGGGCUGACGCCUGCCCGGUGCUGGAAGGUUACGAGGAGAGGUUAGCGCAAGUGAAGCUUUGAAUCCAAGCCCCAGUAAACGGCGGCCGUAACUAUAACGGUCCUAAGGUAGCGAAAUUCCUUGUCGGGUAAGUUCCGACCCGCACGAAAGGCGUAAUGAUUUGAGCGCUGUCUCGGCAAUGCACCCGGUGAAAUUGAAGUACCAGUGAAGAUGCUGGUUACCUGCGCCAGGACGGAAAGACCCCAUGGAGCUUUACUCUAGUUUGAUACUGGGAUUCGGUAAUGCAUGUACAGGAUAGGUGGGAGGCUGAGAAAGGAGAACGCCAGUUUUCCUGGAGCCGGUGUUGGGAUACCACCCUUGCGUUACUGGGUUUCUAACCUGCAGCCGUGACCCGGCUGGGGGACAAUGUCAGACGGGGAGUUUGACUGGGGCGGUCGCCUCCGAAAGGGUAUCGGAGGCGCUCAAAGGUUCCCUCAGGAUGGUUGGAAACCAUCCAAAGAGUGCAAAGGCAGAAGGGAGCUUGACUGCGAGAGCGACGGUUCGAGCAGGUACGAAAGUAGGACUUAGUGAUCCGGUGGCAUAAAGUGGGAUUGCCAUCGCUCAACGGAUAAAAGCUACCCUGGGAUAACAGGCUUAUCACUCCCAAGAGUUCACAUCGACGGAGUGUUUUGGCACCUCGAUGUCGGCUCAUCCCAUCCUGGGGCUGAAGUAGGUCCCAAGGGUUGGGCUGUUCGCCCAUUAAAGCGGUACGCGAGCUGGGUUCAGAACGUCGUGAGACAGUUCGGUCCCUAUCCGGCGUGGGCGUAGGAUAUUUGAGAGGAGCUGUCCUUAGUACGAGAGGACCGGGAUGGACUGACCUCUGGUGUAUCGGUUGAGUAUCAGACUCAUGGCCGAGUAGCCAAGUCGGGACGGGAUAAACGCUGAAGGCAUCUAAGCGUGAAGCCCCCCUCAAGAUGAGAUAUCCCAUACGCAAGUAGUAAGACCCCUUGAAGACGACGAGGUAGAUAGGGCAGAGGUGGAAGCGCGGUAACGCGUGGAGCUGACUGUCACUAAUAGGUCGAGGGCUUGACC